GCUGAUGUGGCUCAGUGGUAGAGCACCACCUUGGUAAGGUGGUGGUCGCGGGUUCGAUCCCCGCCAUCAGCUCCA
RNAcentral lists this transfer RNA (75 nucleotides) under Clostridia bacterium. RNAcentral's name for it is "tRNA-Thr". It matches the Rfam family "tRNA". Rfam says of the family: Transfer RNA (tRNA) molecules are approximately 80 nucleotides in length. Lineage: Bacteria; Bacillati; Bacillota; Clostridia. The record is from RNAcentral.